Molecule: ribosomal RNA, 881 nt
Filed under: uncultured Actinomycetales bacterium
Lineage: Bacteria; Bacillati; Actinomycetota; Actinomycetes; Actinomycetales
Description: bacterial SSU rRNA
Rfam family: Bacterial small subunit ribosomal RNA
Source: RNAcentral
UGCAAGUCGAGCGAUGAGAUCACUUCUGGUGAAGGAUUAGCGGCGAACGGGUGAGGAACACGUGAAGAAUCUGCCUUCAACUCUGGGAUAACUCCGGGAAACCGGGGCUAAUACCGGAUAUGAGCCUUGAUCGCAUGAUCGGGGCUGGAAAGUUUUUCGGUUGAAGAUGACUUCGCGGCCUAUCAGCUUGUUGGUGAGGUAAUGGCUCACCAAGGCGACGACGGGUAGCCGGCCUGAGAGGGCGACCGGCCACACUGGGACUGAGACACGGCCCAGACUCCUACGGGAGGCAGCAGUGGGGAAUAUUGGGCAAUGGACGAAAGUCUGACCCAGCGACGCCGCGUGCGGGAUGAAGGCCUUCGGGUUGUAAACCGCUUUCAGCAGGGAAUAAGCGCAAGUGAAGGUACCUGCAGAAGAAGCACCGGCUAACUAUGUGCCAGCAGCCGCGGUAAUACAUAGGGUGCAAGCGUUGUCCGGAAUUAUUGGGCGUAAAGAGCUCGUAGGUGGUUUGUUACGUCGGUUGUGAAAUUCAGGGGCUCAACCCCUGACUUGCAGCCGAUACGGGCAAGCUAGAGUUUGGUAGGGGAGACUGGAAUUCCUGGUGUAGCGGUGGAAUGCGCAGAUAUCAGGAGGAACACCGAUGGCGAAGGCAGGUCUCUGGGCCAAUACUGACACUGAGGAGCGAAAGCGUGGGGAGCGAACAGGAUUAGAUACCCUGGUAGUCCACGCCGUAAACGGUGGGCGCUAGUUGUGCGAACCUUCCACGGUUUGUGCGACGCAGCUAACGCAUUAAGCGCCCCGCCUGGGGAGUACGAUCGCAAGAUUAAAACUCAAAGGAAUUGACGGGGCCCCGCACAAGCAGCGGAGCAUGCGGCUUAAUU